AGUCUGAGGAUGAAAAGGAACAAUUGAAGUACUAUAUGAAGCUAGCACAAUCUCUGCAAUAUAAUUUGAAUCAAGAGAAGAAGAGACAAGGUGAAUUAGAGUAAAAGGUUGCCGGCUUGAAGACACUCUUUCAGAAAACAAGGAUGCUACAUGACAAUCAAAAUGGAGACUUUAGUUUCCUUGGAGAUUUAGAACCCAAUCAAUCUGAAAUGGAUAUUCAGAUGAAUAGGCUAAAACAGAAGGAGCCUCCCCCAGCGGGCAGGAUGCCGAGGAAGCAGUGACCCGGAGAGAGGCGGGAGCGCGGGCGCGGGAAACAAGCAACCAAGCCGGCAAUUGGAAAAAGAGAAAAUCGUGUGGAUAUUAUUGAAAGUGUUCCACAAGACCAAACAAGCAAUGAUAAUUUGACUUGUGUUGAUGGAGCACACCAGAAUAAUUUAAGUGGUAACUUAGUGACUAUCUAUGAAUUCUUUCUUGCUUAAGUGCGGCCAUAAAGAAAUCUAACACGUGUAGAUCCAAAUGUGAUACUCAUUUCUUUUAAGCAUUUUUUUCUCUCUUUUAUCAAAAGU
Molecule: long non-coding RNA, 566 nt
Organism: Rhinolophus ferrumequinum (greater horseshoe bat)
Lineage: Eukaryota; Metazoa; Chordata; Mammalia; Chiroptera; Rhinolophidae
Exons: 4
Source: RefSeq, a predicted model, not a curated record